ACUGUAAGCAUCACAAUGAAUAACAUUCUGUAUAUAUAGCCUUAUACUGAUCGUAGCUCAUCUGUGCAUGGGCUUAACGAAUGUCAACAGUAAACGUCAGAUUUGGCGGCACUUCACUUUUAGGUUGUAAUAGUUUUUGUACGGAUUGUAACUACUGAUAGUAGAUGAUUAAUGAUUUGAUUAAUGUUAUAUUCCUGAUUAUUAUUUGACACUGUAAUUGAAGCAAUCAAUGUAAUAAAGCAAAUGUAGCUGGAAGCAGUGGUUUAAAUGAUAAACCCCCAUACCGGAGCUCGAGGGCCACGGACAUGCCCUCACAUGAAACUGGAAGCAAUAGAUUAAAUGAUGGAUCCCUGUGACUGAGCUCUUGAGCCUUGGCUUGGCUCACAUCUCAGAAGUUGGAUAAAGGAUCUAAUGUCCACAAGGUGCGUAAACGUCACUUGGCCUUCUAAAAGUUGGUUUGAUAAUAGAAACUACAGAAAAAUGUGUAUAAAUGAUACAAGAUUUCAUUAACUUGUUCGAUAAGAGGAGCAAAAGACAGAUCGUUUUGUUUACUUAAAACCAAAAGGUUUUUGUUUGGUGCAUCUAGCAUAACUUUGUUUUCAGUUGAUCAAAUUAUUAACCAUUUCUUUUGUAUUGUUUGUUUUUGGGCUGUGAGAUGAGAAGCUGCCAUACACAAAGGAACAACUCAAGGAAUCAAACAGCUGAUGUAUGAUGAGAGGUAACUUAAGGGUUGAAGCAUUAGCUCUUUGGUGAAACUAACUAUGUCAUCAGCACAAGCCUUGAACAUGUUGAUAAGGAUAUGAAAUGCUAGAUGGUAAGAAUGGCAUUGGACAGAAUACACAGUAUUCUGGUGCAGUGCAGGUACUCAGAGAAAACUGAUUAACACAUAGCCUCGCUGCAAGAGCACACUGAUGUAAAGAAGGUUAAAUCUGAUAGAUGGUGGAGCCACUGCCAGCGGACCGAGUGCCAAGCUGCUGGUGAUCAGGGUCGCAGAGUCGCCGUACUGCAGUGCCGUGUACUUACACGAUAAGGAAGCGAAUCUCUCUAUAUGUGCAUUGAUUGAGAGUGUCGAGAUUCAAUGUUAUAAGAUUAAUAGCUGGCACGACUAUACUAGUCUUUAUAUACAUAUUGUAAAAUCUUAAUUGAGUGCCGAGUUAUGGCAGUGUAUAGUCUAGACCAGGCCAUGAUAAUAGGUAAAACAAACAAAGCUAUGUAUAGAUUGUGACUUAUGUCGAUUCGAAGAUUCUUGUAAUGUAAGCUUGUUGCGUGAAUCAAAUUUUAAACAAAAUAUUGAUAGGUAAAUUUAUGUUGGAAAACUGCUCAGAACAGGCCUUAAAGGCAGACUGUCUGGGGCAGGCCCUGAUUGUUGAUGAUGAUAUUAUUUGCCAUAACAAACAUAUAAGAUUGAAAAGGUUAAUACCUUUUGAUUGAUUGAUUAUGAUGAAUGAAGGAGCAGACUGUCUGGAACAGGUCCUGACUGGGUUGGGCCUAACAUUCUAGAGCAGGCCGUGAAGGCAGACUGUCUAGAACAGGCUAUGAUACCAGUUUGGCAUUCUAGAGCAGGCCGUUAUGGCAGACUGUCUAGACCACACCAGUCUAGAGCAGGCCAUACCAAAUUAUAAAAUUAUAUUGAUUGAUUAGGUUGAAUGAAGGAGCAGACUGUCUGGAACAGGUUUGGGUAGUAGCCUGACAUUCUAGAGCAGGCCGUGAAGGCAGACUGUCUAGAACAGGCUAUAAUACCAUCUUGACAUUCUAGAGCAGGCCGAUAUGGCAGACUGUCUAGGCCACACCAGUCUAGAGCAGGCCAUAAUUUAAUUGAUUGAUUGGCAGACCGCCUUGAUUAGUCAAGAACGGGCCAUAACAAAUUAUAUUUUGUUGAUGAAAAGAGCAGGCCUUAAAGGCAGACUGCGGAUGUUUAUGGCAUAAUAUCUCUUAUUAAUAUGUUCAGAACAGGCCUUUAGGUUGACUGUUAAUGAUAUAUACUUUGUUAAUAUAAUUAGAACAGGCUUGUAAGCAGACUGAUUAUUAGUGAUAUAAUAUACUUUAUUAAUAUGAUAAGAGCAGGCCUAGUCUAGUAGGCAGACUGUGAUGUUAAUUAGAAAAUAUACUUUUGCUAAUAUGUUAUACUUUGGAACCGGCCUUGAAGGCAGACUGAGAUAGUUAAUGAUAUAAUAUAAAAACCUCGAUAAUAUGAUUAGAAUUGACUUUGUAAGCUGAAUGUGACUAUUAAUGAUAUAUUAUACUUAGUCAAUACUUAAAUAACAAGCCUAGUAGGCAGAGAUUGAUAAUGAUGUUUUAUAUACUUUGAUAAAAUGGAUAAUCAUACUGGUUAUAAAACAGGUAUUGUAAACAGACUGAGAUAGUUAAUGAUAAUACUUUGUUCAUAUGAUUAGAACAUUUGUCGACAAACUGAGAGUGUUAAUCACUUUAUAUUAUGUACAAAAUUCAAACUGCCUAUGGCAUUGUUAAUGAUACAUAAUUCGUUAAUAUGUUUAGAACUGACCUUUGAAAGCGGACUGAGAUUAUUAUUUAUAUAUAUACUUUGUUAAUGUGAUAAGAACAGUUCCUGAAAGCUGUGAAAGACCGAGGGUUGCGAUUGAUCAAGACACGCAUUGAAUAUAAUGAUCUAAUUUGCCAGAAUGUUGAGUAGGCCUUGAAGACAGGCUGCGGUUGUUAAUAUUCGUUUAUACCUACUUGUAUUAAUUGCUUGGAGCAGUCUAUGAUUGUAAAUUAGUUGCUAGAUUGGAAAACUUCAACGAAAUGCAAGCUGUUACAGCUACUUGAUGUUGGUAAUGCAAGUGUUUAUAAAUAUGUUGAAUAUUACAAAAAAAAAGUUAUGCAUAGGUUUAGAGCAGGCAUUAGGACAGGCUGUAUUGAUGUUGAUUUUUACUUACUCAUAAACUGUCUAGAAGAGCAUGAUUUAAGUUCCUUAAUAUAUUAAUGAAAGAUAGGUAACUGCAGAUUAAAAGUGAUCUUGAUUUGUGAUUUUAUGAGAUUAAAAGGCUGAUGAUUUUAUAUGUGUUAAACUGAUAGCUCUUGUAUAUUUAAUAACUGUAAUAAGGUUACGAAAGAAUUUAAGAUUUUGUAUAUGUGUUAUACUGAUUAUUUAAUAAGGUUUAGGAGAAGGAUACUGUAGUAAUGAAUGUCUGUGGAUUGAUACUGUAGUAAUGAAUGUUGACAUUAAGCGUAGAUAGGUACCCGUACGUUUGUUACCACUGUUAUUGAGGUGAAUAUGUUUAGUGAGAGGGCUCACUUUAUAAUAAGGACGGCCGAAGCUGUAAGCAUCACAAUGAAUAACAUUCUGUAUAUAUAGCCUUAUACUGAUCGUAGCUCAUCUGUGCAUGGGCUUAACGAAUGUCAACAGUAAACGUCAGAUUUGGCGGCACUUCACUUUUAGGUUGUAAUAGUUUUUGUACGGAUUGUAACUACUGAUAGUAGAUGAUUAAUGAUUUGAUUAAUGUUAUAUUCCUGAUUAUUAUUUGACACUGUAAUUGAAGCAAUCAAUGUAAUAAAGCAAAUGUAGCUGGAA
RNAcentral lists this long non-coding RNA (3529 nucleotides) under Leguminivora glycinivorella. RNAcentral describes it as "uncharacterized LOC125233992". The record is from RNAcentral. Lineage: Eukaryota; Metazoa; Arthropoda; Insecta; Lepidoptera; Tortricidae.